Molecule: long non-coding RNA, 279 nt
Organism: Myiozetetes cayanensis
Lineage: Eukaryota; Metazoa; Chordata; Aves; Passeriformes; Tyrannidae
Exons: 3
Source: RefSeq, a predicted model, not a curated record
AGUGACCGGAGUACAUAAUGUACACAUGUGAAACCAGUCUUCUGAGCUACUAGCAAAGAAGGCAGAACAUGCUCUGAACUUGAGCGCUGCCGUGUCCCUGCUGGCCUGCCCGCGCCACGGAGGUCCCCCUGCAGCAGGAGAAACUCUGAAGCGGUGUGGAGGCGACACGAGAGCGGGCGGGACCAGGUCCCCGUGGGCGCGGGGUGCGGUGCUGCUGCCCUCUCUACCCGUCCGGGUGUCCCGCCCGGCCCCGGUAGCUCGAGCCUUCUCCAACGGACA